UAGGUAGGGGUGACAAUCUCGCUCGCUAGCUAUUCGCGAGUUAGCUCGUGUUCGGCUCGAAAUGAGCUCUAGAUCGAAUCGCUCGUUUAAUAAACAAACCAAACACGAGUCGAAUUUUUCAGCUCGCUCAUGUUCGGCUCGAUAACAGCUCGAAUAUAUAUAUUUUAUAUUUAUAUAUAUAUAAAUAAAUAAUUAUAUAUAUAUAAUAUAAAUUUUUAUUAUUUGGUUUUUAUCUUAACUUAAAUAUAAAGUCUAACUCAAUUAUAAAAAGAUCAUUUAUAUAUAAAAUUUUAACUAUUAGAUUAAAGUCAAAUGGAUAAAAUUUUAUAAAUUUAUUUUCUGUAUGCAUCUUUCAUAAUUUUUUUAAUUUAUUGUUCAUAAGUUUACUUGUAUUUGGCUCGUGUUCGGCUCAUUAAUAAAUAAAACACGAGCUGAAUUUUUUGGCUUAAUACUUUAACGAGACAGCUGGUGUUCGGCUCGAGCCCGUCGCCCGUCGGCGACA
RNAcentral lists this long non-coding RNA (502 nucleotides) under Ananas comosus (pineapple). RNAcentral's name for it is "long non-coding RNA (ACOM_LNC028552)". Lineage: Eukaryota; Viridiplantae; Streptophyta; Magnoliopsida; Poales; Bromeliaceae. The record is from RNAcentral.